This 120-nucleotide small RNA is filed under the name Giardia lamblia ATCC 50803. RNAcentral describes it as "partial GlsR28 ncRNA". The record is from RNAcentral. Lineage: Eukaryota; Fornicata; Diplomonadida; Hexamitidae.
UUUAUUACCCUACUCUGUCUCGUGAACCCUCACCACCAGUUCUUCUCGCAGUGGUCUCUGUCAAAGACUGCCGCACGGUACACCAGAAGCAAGGGGAAGGAUCCCAUCCACGCAGUCCUU